AUUCUACUCCCUCCGUUGCACAAUACAUGCCUUUUAUUUGUCAAAAUAUAUAUGUAUCUAGACAUGUUUUAGUAUAUAGGUACAUCCAUUUUUGGACAAAUAGAAGUCAAGUAUUUUGGAACGGAGAGGGAGUACACA
Triticum aestivum (bread wheat) is the source of this 138-nucleotide non-coding RNA. The record is from Rfam. NCBI's taxonomy places the organism in Eukaryota, Viridiplantae, Streptophyta, Magnoliopsida, Poales, Poaceae.